RNAcentral lists this ribosomal RNA (382 nucleotides) under uncultured eukaryote. RNAcentral describes it as "partial 18S ribosomal RNA". It matches the Rfam family "Eukaryotic small subunit ribosomal RNA", at positions 592 to 976 of the family's 1831-position model. The record is from RNAcentral.
UGUAAGCGUAUACCAAAGUUGUUGCAGUUAAAACGCUCGUAGUCGGAACUUGGCCGUGCCGGAUGUGUGCACGUCGUGUGCGCACUUCGCGGGGAUUGCUUUUGUGGUCUUGCGUAGGAUGAGGCACUUUUAUUAGUGAACGUCCUCACGCAACCACUUUUUACUGUGAGAAAAUCAGAGUGCUCAAAGCAGGCAUUUGCCGUGAAUGUAUUAGCAUGGAAUAAUAGAAUAGGACUUGGUUCUAUUUUGUUGGUUUGUUGGGACUGAGUAAUGAUUAAGAGGGACAGUUGGGGGCAUUUGUAUUUCGGUGCUAGAGGUGAAAUUCUUAGAUUACUGAAAGACAAACUGCUGCGAAAGCGUCUGCCAAGGAUGUUUUCAUUGA